Molecule: long non-coding RNA, 1628 nt
Organism: Homo sapiens (human)
Lineage: Eukaryota; Metazoa; Chordata; Mammalia; Primates; Hominidae
Source: Ensembl
GUGGGAGGUUACGGACCCCGGCAGGAGCGCCCACCGAAAUCCUGUCCCCAGCUGAAGCAACACGACCCGCAUCAGUUUACUUUCCAGUUUGCCUAAUUUCUAGAGGUUGAAAUUGAGGAUAGGAAAGUACGAGGUGGAGGUGGUGGGCCAGAAUCAAACCCAAAAUAGACGUUGUCAGGCCUCUGAGCCCAAGCUAAGCCAUCAUAUCCCCUAUGACCUGCACGUAUACAUCCAGAUGGCCUGAGGCAACUGAAGAGCCACAAAAGAAGUGAAAAUAGCCUUAACUGAUGACAUUCCACCAUUGUGAUUUGUUCCUGCCCCACCCUAACUGACAGGAUAUAUUCUCCCCCUUGCCCUUAAGUAGGUGCUUUGUAAUAUUCUCCCCCGCCCUUAAGAAUGUACUUUGUACACCUAUCCCAAACCUAUAAGAACUAAUGAUAAUUCCACCACCCUCUGCUGACUCCUUUUUCGGACUCAACCCGCCUGCACCCAGGUCACCACUUCCAGCCUGGCGACUUGGUGCUAAUUAAGACUUGGAAGGAAGACAAUCUCCACCCAAGCUGGGAAGGUUCCUAUCAAGUGCUCGUGAUCACUGAGACAGCCGUAGGAACAGCUGAACGGGGUGGACACUCACACUCGGGUCAAGAGACUGGUAAAAGAAACCCCAGAAGGAAGGGAAAAAGAAACUUUGCUCUGGUGGAGGAAACAAACAUGGACACAUUGUGAGAGUUCCAGGAAGUGGCCACUUGGAGGUGGUAUCAAAGUGCUGUGGGAAUCCACUUGGGAUUGCUGGAGGAGAAGCCAGUUGCCAUAUUGUGAGGAUGCUCAAGCAACCUUAUGAAGAGGUCUACAUGGUGAAGAACUAAGGCCUACUAUCAAAAACAAACACUAAUUUGCCAGACAUAUAAUCAGCUUCUGAUAACUGUAGAGAAAAGUAUGGGCAGAAAGGAGAAAGUAAGCCAAGAGGGGAGCUGGAAGUCAGGACCUACUGCCUUGGAAAGCCAUCGUGCUGUGAGGACUCUUCAUCAUUCCUCAAGUCUCCCUCUGAUGCCGAGCAGAAGCUGGACUGUACUGCCGCUAUCUCGGCUCACUGCAACCUCCCUGCCUGAUUCUCCUGCCUCAGCCUGCCGAGUGCCUGGGAUUGCAGGCGCGCGCCGCCACGCCUGACUGGUUUUCAUAUUUUUUUUGGUGGAGACGGGGUUUCGCUGUGUUGGCCGGGCUGGUCUCCAGCUCCUAACCGUGAGUUAUCUGCCAGCCUCGGCCUCCCGAGGUACCGGGAAUGCAGACGGAGUCUCAUUCACUCAGUGCUCAAUGUUGCCCAGGCUGGAGUGCAGUGGCGUGAUCUCGGCUGGCUACAACCUCCACCUCCCAGCCGCCUGCCUUGGCCUCCCAAAGUGCCGAGAUUGCAGCCUCUGCCUGGCCGCCAUCCCGUCUAGGAAGUGAGGAGCGUCUCUGCCCGGCCGCCCAUCGUCUGAGAUGUGGGGAGCGCCUCUGCCCCGCCGCCCCGUCUGGGAGAUGAGGAGCGUCUCUGCCCGGCCGCCCCGUCUGAGAAGUGAGGAGCCCCUCCGCCCAGCAGCCGCCCCGUCUGAGAAGUGAGGAGCCCCUCCGCCCGGCAGCUGCCCUGUCUG